RNAcentral lists this ribosomal RNA (433 nucleotides) under uncultured bacterium. RNAcentral's name for it is "partial 16S ribosomal RNA". It matches the Rfam family "Bacterial small subunit ribosomal RNA", at positions 29 to 507 of the family's 1533-position model. The record is from RNAcentral.
AACGAACGCUGGCGGCAUGCCUAACACAUGCAAGUCGAACGAGACCUUCGGGUCUAGUGGCGCACGGGUGCGUAACGCGUGGGAACCUGCCCUUAGGUUCGGAAUAACUCCCCGAAAGGGGUGCUAAUACCGUAUAAUGUCUUCGGACCAAAGAUUUAUCGCCUUUGGAUGGGCCCGCGUUGGAUUAGCUAGUUGGUAGGGUAAAAGCCUACCAAGGCGACGAUCCAUAGCUGGUCUGAGAGGAUGAUCAGCCACACUGGGACUGAGACACGGCCCAGACUCCUACGGGAGGCAGCAGUGGGGAAUAUUGGACAAUGGGCGCAAGCCUGAUCUAGCAAUGCCGCGUGAGUGAUGAAGGCCUUAGGGUUGUAAAGCUCUUUUACCCGGGAUGAUAAUGACAGUACCGGGAGAAUAAGCUCCGGCUAACUCCGUG